Molecule: ribosomal RNA, 253 nt
Filed under: uncultured bacterium
Lineage: Bacteria
Description: partial 16S ribosomal RNA
Rfam family: Bacterial small subunit ribosomal RNA
Source: RNAcentral
UACGGAGGGGGCUAGCGUUGUUCGGAAUUACUGGGCGUAAAGGGCGCGCAGGCGGCUCAUUUUGUCAGGCGUGAAAGCCCCGGGCUUAACCUGGGAACUGCGUUUGAUACGGAUGGGCUAGAGUUCGGGAGAGGAGAGUGGAAUUCCCAGUGUAGAGGUGAAAUUCGUAGAUAUUGGGAAGAACACCGGUGGCGAAGGCGGCUCUCUGGACCGAUACUGACGCUGAGGCGCGAAAGCGUGGGGAGCAAACAGG